Long non-coding RNA from Ostrea edulis (European flat oyster), 3260 nucleotides. RefSeq lists it as uncharacterized. The record is from RefSeq and is a predicted model, not a curated record. NCBI's taxonomy places the organism in Eukaryota, Metazoa, Mollusca, Bivalvia, Ostreida, Ostreidae. The transcript has 2 exons.
GGAGAUAAACAAUUACGUAAUGGAAUCUGUCGCAGUGUUGAACAAACUUAGGCGGUAAGCAAUGCGGCAUUUAGUGACAGGGACUAAGGUGAACACUGUUAUCAUACCUAGGUGCACAACCGGCCGAAAUUGAAUGUGAUUUUCCAGACAUUUAGUAAGGACAUGAUCAGUCGUCAAUGUCCAACAAUCCCGUCAUCCAGCCAAGCUGAAUCUCAGUCAAUCAGUGGAGAUCAAGAAGCCAGAUCGACCGUGGGUCUAUGUGCCUCAAUGCAGUUUGAUAAUUUUGUUUUAGGACUAUGAAUGCAAAAAAUGUGAUGAUACACUAUCAUUCUGGACAUACCAACAGCCUGACAUCAACGCUAGUUUAUAUAUACAUGUAUAUAUUUAAAAAAAGAAAAAGAAGAUUUUAUCAAAAUCGAUAUCAUCCGAGGUACGUGCAUCCUGUUAUGUGUGUUAUUAUACUUACCUAUACCCUAGUUCCUCUAUGCAGUGUUUGACUCGUUUUGAAUUUUAACAUAUUUCAUUGUUUAAGUGCAUAGGGGCUUACAUUAUACAAAAGGUUUUUAGAAUCAGAUACAUAAUUUUUACCUUUUCUGGUGUUCAUAGUAGUAAUUGUCACACUUAUAAUCCCAAUUUAUUAGAAUUAUAAAUUGGUGUUGGAACUUCCCUCCAUGUUUUGUCUAGUUUGUUUUUGAUGGAGUUCACUGAUUUUGUCAUUAUAUAAUAUCAUUUGUCGUCCAUUUUAGGUGUCUACAACUGUGUGUGAAGUAGUGUUUUCUUGUCUUCUCUUUGGCUAUUUUCUUUCAAUGACCUUUUGUCAAUGACGAAUCGUUACAUACACUGAUGUCAUAUUAUAUACCUAGGAUAACCCAUGAAAGCCGAAAGGCUGAUCUCUAAUGAAUUGUUAUCAAUAAAACAUCUAUGGCCGAGUUUGUUUUCGUCGCUUGCCUGUAGAAUAAGACAGGAGUUUCACGUCUUUAUUCUCGACUGUCCGAGGAAAAAGUGUUGUAUAAAGAUUACACUAAUUACUUUGUACAAAAUUCAUAAUAAUGAGGUUCUGCAGUAUCUAAAAGAAACAAUACCUAAUAAAAACAAACAAAAAGUCCACGUACAAUCUCCGUAAUGGAGACAACUAUACAGUACCAAAAUGUAGACUUGAACUUUAUAAAAAAUCAUUCGUUCCAGUUGCUGUAUCAAUGUGGAAUUCUCUUAGUAUUGAAUCAAGACAGGCUUCUUCAAUUAGCUCUAAUAAUAUCAAUAAUUCUAAACCACCUAUAUACUUUUCAUAUGGUUCUCGUUUCCUGAAUAUAAUUCAUACCAAACUAAGACAUGCAUGUGUUCUGAAUUAUGAUCUGUAUAGACGCAAUAUUGUUGAUUCCCCGUUGUGUUCAUGUGGCAUGCGUGAAGAUGCAUACCACUUUUUCUUUACUUGUAAUAAGUAUACAAAUGCUAGAUAUAAAUUAAUGGAUAGAUUGCUAAGAUUACAUGAUUUGGUAAUAAUUGAUACACAUGUACUACUUUGGGGUGAUAAUGUUUUAUCUAUUGAACUAAAUAAAUUUAUUUUUUCAAAUGUUCAGACGUACAUUCAAGAAACCAAAAGAUUCAAUUAAUGCUAUAUUGUACUACUACUUAUAGAAUAUACCUAUAUGUUCCAUUAUUGUAUUAACUAUUUACUGUAUAUUAAUGACAAUUGUGUGCUAUUCUAUUUUUAUAAGGAGAAGAACUCGUAAGUUGCAAGAACUUGUUUCUAAUCCUUUUGUAUAUAGUAUAUACAAUAAAAUAUGUUCAAAACAAAACAAAGAUUACACAAAUAAUAGUAUCAACGUCUUAGUAGAAAUUUGUAACAACAGGUGUUACACAAUAUGCUAUGUGCAAAAUACUCAUGAAAUACAGCAUCUACAUGUUCAUCUACAAAUAAGCAUUGCUAUAAAGCUUCAUUGCUAUAUACUGGAAUAAAUUAAACUGCGUGGUGAUACAAUAGUUUUAUAUGUAAGGGCACCUCUAAACGUUACACACUCUAUAUAUUACACAAAGAGGCUAAGUCCGUUUUGGGCCCGAACUCUGUGAUACCAUAAAUAUAGAUAUUCGGGCCCAAAACUGGCUUAGCCCCUGUGAUAUUACAGUUAUGAGGCGAUGAUAUGGCAUCUUAUACAUCUGUGAUAAAUACACUGAAACCUGGUACAAUAAUCGAAAUAAAUUAAUUGAUGGGAAACUGUGCACUUAUUUUAAACUUAAAGUAACUCCACCCUCCUGUGAUGUCAUCAGAUUUUGCAAAAUUAAUGAUUUAUUUUGAUUUAUGCAUGAUAGGAACAUAAAUUUUGUUAGAGUCUUUUCCGAUAGUUAUUGUAAAAAAAAAAUUGUAAGAUUAAACUAUUUCAAAAUUCUAAGUUAUAGAUGAAUAAUCAAUGAUACGUUUUAAAAUAUUGAAUCCAAGGACAAUAACUCUGUUUUUCUUUCUUUCUUUAUAAAGUCUAUUAUGUGUUAGAUUUCCUUUGUUUUUACAGACAUUUUGUAUAUUUUUGUGAAGAUAGUUUUAUGAAAUUGUUAUGAAUGCUAUUAUAUCGUCAUAAUAAUCAGUUUGUAUGAAAUUUUGAUAACGCUGUUUAAGGAAAAUUGCAAUUUUCUGACGGUGAUAUAUGAUUCUGUUUAUGUACGUCUCGCAUCUUAAUUAAAAAGUGUGAUGAUCUAUGUAUUUUAUUUGAUAAUUUGUUAGUUUGAACUCUAAUGAAUGGAAAUAAAUACACUUUUAAAACUUGUAUCAGAUAAAACUGGGAGUAUGGAGUUACCUUAAGGAUUACUUUGGUUUUGAGAAAUAAAAUAUUUUGAUAUUAGAAGAUCUAUUUAUAAGUUACGGAUAUCAGCUCAUAAAUUAAUGAUUGAAGUUGGUAGAUAUUCUGGUAUUACUAGGAAUGAACGAAUAUGUAACAAAUCCGGUUCAUUAGGUGAUGAGGUUCAUUUUUUUAAUUAAAUGUGAAAAGUUUUUGUGUUGCUAUAGAAAAAAACAGUUAAUUUUUUUUACUAAACUUAAUGAUGAACAAAAAUUCAUUUACAUAUCAUGUUCUGAAGAGCCAUCUAUUCUAAAUAUAACUGGGAAAUUUAUUUUGAACAAUGUAUAUGACACUGUAUUUGCAUGUAACUACAUGUAUGUGUUAUGUAAUCACUUCUUUCUUUACUUGUAUAUGUUUAUGUACAGAAUUUGUAUAUAUUUUCGUGCUGCCCCUUGAGGGCCCUUGAUUGGAAAAUAAAAAUAUGUUCAGUUC